This 85-nucleotide transfer RNA is filed under the name Gammaproteobacteria bacterium. Its description in RNAcentral is "tRNA-Leu". It matches the Rfam family "tRNA". Rfam says of the family: Transfer RNA (tRNA) molecules are approximately 80 nucleotides in length. Lineage: Bacteria; Pseudomonadati; Pseudomonadota; Gammaproteobacteria. The record is from RNAcentral. RNAcentral also lists the same sequence under 1 other name.
GCGAAAGUGGCGGAAUUGGUAGACUCGCUGGAUUUAGGUUCCAGUACCGCAAGGUGUGAGAGUUCGAGUCUCUCCUUUCGCACCA